UACGUAGGGUGCAAGCGUUAUCCGGAAUUAUUUGGCGUAAAGAGCUCGUAGGCGGUUUGUCGCGUCUGCUGUGAAAACCCGAGGCUCAACCUCGGGCCUGCAGUGGGUACGGGCAGACUAGAGUGCGGUAGGGGAGACUGGAAUUCCUGGUGUAGCGGUGAAAUGCGCAGAUAUCAGGAGGAACACCGGUGGCGAAGGCGGGUCUCUGGGCCGAUACUGACGCUGAGGAGCGAAAGCGUGGGGAGCGAACAGG
This 253-nucleotide ribosomal RNA is filed under the name uncultured bacterium. RNAcentral's name for it is "partial 16S ribosomal RNA". It matches the Rfam family "Bacterial small subunit ribosomal RNA", at positions 524 to 776 of the family's 1533-position model. The record is from RNAcentral.